This 520-nucleotide ribosomal RNA is filed under the name uncultured Glomus. RNAcentral's name for it is "SSU rRNA". It matches the Rfam family "Eukaryotic small subunit ribosomal RNA", at positions 569 to 1088 of the family's 1831-position model. The record is from RNAcentral. Lineage: Eukaryota; Fungi; Glomeromycota; Glomeromycetes; Glomerales; Glomeraceae.
AGCAGCCGCGGUAAUUCCAGCUCCAAUAGCGUAUAUUAAAGUUGUUGCAGUUAAAAAGCUCGUAGUUGAAUUUCGGGAUCAAUACGUCGGUCGUGCUUUCGGGUACGUACUGGCGUCAUUGGUUUCUCCUUUCUGACGAACCAUGAUGUCAUUAAUUUGGUGUUAUGGGGAGUUAGGACUGUUACUUUGAAAAAAUUAGAGUGUUUAAAGCAGGCAUUAGCUUGAAUACAUUAGCAUGGAAUAAUGAAAUAGGACGUUCGAUCCUAUUUUGUUGGUUUCUAGGAUUGACGUAAUGAUUAAUAGGGAUAGUUGGGGGCAUUAGUAUUCAAUUGUCAGAGGUGAAAUUCUUGGAUUUAUUGAAGACUAACUACUGCGAAAGCAUUUGCCAAGGAUGUUUUCAUUAAUCAAGAACGAAAGUUAGGGGAUCGAAGACGAUCAGAUACCGUCGUAGUCUUAACCAUAAACUAUGCCGACUAGGGAUCGGAUGAUGUUAAUUUUUUAAUGUACUCAUUCGACGCCU